This 321-nucleotide ribosomal RNA is filed under the name uncultured eukaryote. RNAcentral describes it as "partial 18S ribosomal RNA". It matches the Rfam family "Eukaryotic small subunit ribosomal RNA", at positions 1470 to 1796 of the family's 1831-position model. The record is from RNAcentral.
CCCUUAGACGUUCUGGGCCGCACGCGCGCUACACUGACCAGUGCAACAAGCAUCCGUCCUUGGCCGACAGGCCCGGGCAAUCUUUGAACGCUGUUCGUGAUUGGGAUAGACCUUUGCAAUUAUGGGUCUUCAACGAGGAAUUCCUAGUAAACGCAAGUCAUCAGCUUGCAUUGAUUACGUCCCUGCCCUUUGUACACACCGCCCGUCGCACCUACCGAUUGAAUGGUCCGGUGAAAUCUCGGGACGGCGGCUUGGUCGCUUGCGUCCGACUGCUGAAACUUGAUUAAACCAUNUNAUUUAGNGGAAGGUGAANUCGUANCA